This is a long non-coding RNA of Catharus ustulatus (Swainson's thrush), 370 nucleotides long. RefSeq lists it as uncharacterized. The record is from RefSeq and is a predicted model, not a curated record. The transcript is spliced from 3 exons. Lineage: Eukaryota; Metazoa; Chordata; Aves; Passeriformes; Turdidae.
UCCAGGAAAGGAAAUGCAGUAGAAGUUGGAUUUGUUAAGAGCUUUCUCUGGCCUGUUAUGAAACAUUUCAAAUUUGGUAGUUUGUCAGAAGAGUUUACAUCAGCAUUUUGAAGGAGGAUAAUGAGACAACUUGAAGUCACCAGAGCUGCUCCAAGUAGAUGAAGGCUAGAAAAGAACAUAAACAGAACUGAAAAUCAAGCAGGAAACAAUUUUCUCAGCACACCUGUUGAGGAGAGAAACAAGGCUCCUUCAACCAUCAAUCUGUGGGACCUCAGAGCUCAGCCUGAAAGCAAAGGCGAAACGAAAUACGAAAAUUGCAGUGCAGCAGAAGAGGAGUCAGCUAUCUGCGGGCCUCUGCUGAAAUCCCAUC